RNAcentral lists this microRNA precursor (52 nucleotides) under Heterocephalus glaber (naked mole-rat). RNAcentral describes it as "mir-1302 microRNA precursor family". It matches the Rfam family "mir-1302 microRNA precursor family". The record is from Rfam by way of RNAcentral. Lineage: Eukaryota; Metazoa; Chordata; Mammalia; Rodentia; Bathyergidae.
AUUUUAGUGUAAAUAUGUCCCAUGCAAUAUUUGGGAAAUACUUAGACUAACG